Molecule: non-coding RNA, 821 nt
Organism: Paramuricea clavata
Lineage: Eukaryota; Metazoa; Cnidaria; Anthozoa; Malacalcyonacea; Plexauridae
Source: the annotation of a GenBank genome assembly
CUUCCGGUACGCCCAUGUACAUGAAACUGUUUUUUACAGUUUCAAUAUUAGUUUGUAAAUCUCUGAAUGGUAAAACUUGCCAAUACUUCAAUAAUACGUUUCAAAAAAAAGACAAAAAAGCUUUAGUUUUGCAGAGUUAAAUUCUCAAACGUGUAAGGCAAUAAUAAGAUCACGAAAUUAUUUGAAUAAACCACAUCGCAUAUAUGGGGGGGCGAAUGUCCUAAAGAGGGGCGAUAUUCUUAGGGUAUUCGCCCCACCCCCUUGGGAGGCGAUAUUCCUAGGAUAUUCGCCCCCCGGGGGCGAUAUUCCUAGGAAUAUCGCCACGUUUUGAGGGGGGGAAUUUCCUGGGGGGGCGACCUUUUUAAAAAUUCUAUCUUGCCCCCCCAACAUUUGAGUUUGCCCCUCAAAUGCCCCCCCAAAUUUGGAAGCCUGGCGCCGCCACUGUAAAUAUCCCUUAAAGCCCGGGACAAACUGGGUAAUAUUGUUGCGCAAAGAUAUUUGUCAUAUUUAUAUUUGUCAUACUAAUGUACGGUGGCCCAGACGCGACAGCACAAAAACAGUUUUUGUAUUUUUUGAUUUUUUGAUUUUUGAUUUUUUGAUUUUUUGAUUUUUUGAUUUUUUGAUUUUUUGAUUUUUUGAUUUUUUUAUAUAUAUUUGGAUUUUUUAAUGUUUAAAGACCUUGUCAAUGUAAUAUACACAAACAAGGAAACAAUACUAUUUCAAAAGAGCUCUUGUUGUUAUAUUCGUCUUGUAUGCAAUCACAUUUCCCCCAGUCUCUACCUGUCAUCAGAUAUCUAUAUAAAACGUCUCUUAUUACUUAA